UACGACAUUAGGUAUUGUUCAAGGACUGUGGACUCAAGUUAUGGUGUAAUCAUCAUUUAGAAACCCUGUAUUUGUCUCCAACCCAGAUACCAGGCGGUCAUUUUGCCGAGAAAUCGACAGAGGAAGAGCCAAGCAGAACCACUCGGGACUUCUUACUGAGAGCAACAAGGAUAUGUCCCCUCACCCAGAGUCGCUACCUCUCUGGUUCGCCAUAUCGACAUCAGUAGACACUAGCAAGUAAUCUGACCCCUCCAUCCAGGUCUGAAGUUCUCUAACUUUCUGUAGCUGCACCGUCACCAGCUCAAGCCAGUGUAUCGUCUGUCUUAGACCAUCUCCACUGCCACCAACUCAAGCCUCUAAUCUUCAGAUCUCCUCAGCCGGACCAACUCAAGACAGCCCCAUGUCACCUCUGCAUCCACCUGCUCAGUUCCUCAUAUAUAUUUAUCCCUUCAUCCCAUGACCGUUACCAUCAUCAUUCUUCUCUCAAUCUUUACCUUAAUCCAUUCAUAACACGACCCUUUCCCUCAUCCGUUAAUCCCUCCAUUUCUAAACCAUUACAAUUAUCUCAAUAUCAAA
This is a long non-coding RNA of Cheilinus undulatus (humphead wrasse), 576 nucleotides long. RefSeq lists it as uncharacterized. The transcript has 2 exons. Lineage: Eukaryota; Metazoa; Chordata; Actinopteri; Labriformes; Labridae. The record is from RefSeq and is a predicted model, not a curated record.